Molecule: ribosomal RNA, 610 nt
Filed under: Opiconsiva albimarginata
Lineage: Eukaryota; Metazoa; Arthropoda; Insecta; Hemiptera; Delphacidae
Description: eukaryotic LSU rRNA
Rfam family: Eukaryotic large subunit ribosomal RNA
Source: RNAcentral
UUAAGUCUUGACGAGUAAGAGGGUCGCGACGGUGAGCGCAGAAGGGUCAGGGCGAGAGCCUGCCUGGAGCCGCCGUUGGUGCAGAUCUUGGUGGUAGUAGCAAAUACUCUAGCGAGGGCCUGGAGGACUGACGUGGAGAAGGGUUUCUUGUGAACAGCCGUUGCACAAGAGUCAGUCGACCCUGAGCCCUAGGAGAAAUCCGAUGACGAUGGGUGGCUUGACAAUAUAUGCACACACACAUGUGUGAACAUAAUAAUCAUAGACCACAGACUGUGUCUGUCGUUUAGUUAUGCACAAUGUGCUGCUUACGACUGUACAGCUCCUAUUGGGCAAAAGGGAAUCCGGUUCCUAUUCCGGAACCCGGCUGCGUAACCGUAUCUUUGCGGGCACUUGCUUGCGAGCGCUCGUCGGGGUAACCCUAACUGGCCUGGAGACGCCGGCGGGGGGUCUGGAAAGAGUUUUCUUUUCUUUAUAAGCGUUCGAGUACCAUGGAAUCCUAUAGCAGGGAGAUAUGGUUUGGAAUGCGAAGAGCACCGCAGUUGCGGCGGUGUCCGGACCUUCCCCCCGGACCUUGAAAAUCCAGGUGAGGGCCACGCGGAAGUCGCGCCGG